Long non-coding RNA from Formica exsecta, 987 nucleotides. RefSeq lists it as uncharacterized. The transcript has 4 exons. Lineage: Eukaryota; Metazoa; Arthropoda; Insecta; Hymenoptera; Formicidae. The record is from RefSeq and is a predicted model, not a curated record.
AUCUAUGAUUGUUGAGAGAUUAACGUGACAAGUGACAAGUAGUGGUACACUGUGUCUCAUAGAGGGUGGAAAUCUGUUGAAUAAAGAGUAAAGCUACUAAUUUAACAAUUUGACAGUUUUAAAAAGAUGUCAGUAAAGUUAAAAGAUUCUUAGUGGCAUUUUUGGGUAGGAACAUCUAGAUAUUCGUGCAUCAUGGCUGGAAGUCUUGAGUUCGAGAGGAAAGAGCAAGGGAGGCGAGAUAUAGCGUCCCGAAAUAAAAAAAAAAAGAUAUCAUACAGUUCACGUUUGCGUCGAGGAGCUAUUUUUCGACCAAAUACAUGGAUUUGUGAGAAAUGACCUCAACUUUCUUCUAUACAUAAACGAAGAUACCAAUGCGCCAACAAUAACUCUAAUUCGGAAGCUAUCCGAAACGGCCGUCAAACGAGAACGAAACUCAAUCAGGAUCCCAUCUAUCGUAUUAUUCGCACAAAGCAGACCUCAGAUUGGAUUAUCUAUUCGCGUUUCCCGCCACACAUUAUGUACUCUCGCAGUAUAAUAGUCGUGAUGUGCGCGUUAUAGCUGCAACAAGAGAUUAUGGCAUAUCCACGAUUAACCAUAUGACCCUGAUUCUGUGAUAUUUUGCAUCCUUGUAAUAAGCUCUGAAAAUUAUAUCUGUACCACCGAACUACGAAAAUUAAAUCUUAUAGUUCUUAUAGAAAGAGAAUUGAAAAAACAGUUUAAAUUCUUUUUAAAUAAAUUAAUCGCGCUGUUUUUAUAAAUCAGUUUUUGAUCAAAUUUAAUUUUAUAUCAAUUUAUCGCGACACGUUUCGAAUAAAAACCCAAUUUUGCACAGCGGUCGUACGGGUUUGCACAUGACAAGCUUAAAACGUCACAUAUAUAUACAUAUAUAUAUAUACAUUGCAACGUAUAUAUACUUGCAUCAGUGUUCAUUCAAUGUAGCGGCCGCGAUAAUAUUAAAAGCAUUUGCACUAAAAAAAAAAAUAAAAA